Molecule: ribosomal RNA, 395 nt
Filed under: Oscillospiraceae bacterium
Lineage: Bacteria; Bacillati; Bacillota; Clostridia; Eubacteriales; Oscillospiraceae
Description: bacterial SSU rRNA
Rfam family: Bacterial small subunit ribosomal RNA
Source: RNAcentral
UUUUAAGAGUUUGAUCCUGGCUCAGGACGAACGCUGGCGGCGUGCUUAACACAUGCAAGUCGAACGAAGCUUGAUUACGGAUUCUUCGGAUGAAGUAUGAUAUGACUGAGUGGCGGACGGGUGAGUAACGCGUGAGUAACCUGCCCUUCAGAGGGGGAUAGCGUUUGGAAACGAACGGUAAUACCGCAUAAUGUAUUUUGACCGCAUGAUCGAAAUACCAAAGAUUUAUCGCUGAAGGAUGGACUCGCGUCUGAUUAGGUAGUUGGUGGGGUAACGGCCUACCAAGCCGACGAUCAGUAGCCGGACUGAGAGGUUGAUCGGCCACAUUGGGACUGAGACACGGCCCAGACUCCUACGGGAGGCAGCAGUGGGGAAUAUUGCACAAUGGGCGCAAG